RNAcentral lists this transfer RNA (67 nucleotides) under Desulfovibrio piger. It matches the Rfam family "tRNA". From Rfam's summary of the family: Transfer RNA (tRNA) molecules are approximately 80 nucleotides in length. Lineage: Bacteria; Pseudomonadati; Thermodesulfobacteriota; Desulfovibrionia; Desulfovibrionales; Desulfovibrionaceae. RNAcentral also lists the same sequence under 1 other name. The record is from RNAcentral.
GGGAAUAACUCAACGGUAGAGUGUCAGCUUCCCAAGCUGAAGGUUGCGGGUUCAAGUCCCGUUUCCC